This is a long non-coding RNA of Cyprinus carpio (common carp), 453 nucleotides long. RefSeq lists it as uncharacterized. The record is from RefSeq and is a predicted model, not a curated record. Lineage: Eukaryota; Metazoa; Chordata; Actinopteri; Cypriniformes; Cyprinidae.
UGGGUCAUUGUGUUGGGUUAUCUUAAAAUUUGUUGGGUCAUUUAUUUUCGGCGUUGGGUUAUUUUUAGUUAUAACCCAACUGUUGGGUUAAAUAUGGUUCCCGCUUCACUCCGGUUCAAAUUUUAACGGUCCAGUCAGCGACUCAGUGCAGUGGACAUCAGCGGCAGCCUGCCUGAUUAUGAAAGGUUAUGCUGGGAAGGGCAAGUGAGGCGAGCUUUGUGGAAUUUACCCAGAAGCAAUGCAUCCAGGAUUUUGCAGUGUAAUGUAUGCAGUGGAAUCAACCGGAAGCUUACCCGCAACUCCACAGGCCGUGACCUCUGAUGUAGAGACAGGCUCCUGAGUCAGCAAAAGCAAAGCGAAUGCAGAAAGCCAUGCAGGAAACUUAUUCAGCAGCAACAUGUUCUUCUGAAGGAUUAUUAUCAGUGUCUAGAAAUAAAGCAUUAAACAUUCAAA